UGAAAAAACCAGAAAACCUUCCUUCUCAUCAAGACUCCAGCUGCAUCCUUUAACCUUUAAAGUAAAAGGUGAAAUCUAGAAAGCAUAUAUUUCAGUUGAACCUUCGAAAGAACUUGACAACUUCUAGGGUCACAAUUUGACUAAAUGUCAUGCAAACAGGAAACAACAGAGUCCUGAGCAAGAUGUUUUGAGAGAGAAUUGGGGUAACAGCAAUAAGGAAAAAAAAAUAGUUGGAAGAAGUAACACCUAUAAAGGGAUGCAAACAACCAUAUAAGCAUUCGACAUAUCAUAUGAGCAUUUAAGAAUAGUUCUCCAUGAAAAUAUGCCAGAAAAAUUGGGUCCAAAUUUCAACAAGGAUUUGACCUUCCGUGCC
Molecule: long non-coding RNA, 373 nt
Filed under: Calidris pugnax (ruff)
Lineage: Eukaryota; Metazoa; Chordata; Aves; Charadriiformes; Scolopacidae
Description: lncRNA (ENSCPUG00000006730.1)
Source: RNAcentral